AAUCUUGCGCAAUGGCCGAAAGGCUGACGCAUCGACGCCGCGUUCGGGAGGACGCCCCUCGGGGUGUAAACCGCUGUCAGGGGGGAGGAACCCCCAGCAUGGGAAUACUGUGCUGGGCUGACGGUCCCCCCAGAGGGAGCUCCGGCUAACCCCGUGCCCGCAGACGCGGUAAGACGGAGGGCGCGAGCGGUGUUCGGAAUUACUGGGGGUAAAGGGCGCGCAGGCGGACGGGCAAGUCGGAAGGGAAACCCCGGGGCUCAACUCCGGGACUGCUUCCGAUUCUGCUUGUCUAGGGACCGGUAGAGGCUGGUGGAAUUCCCGGUGUAGCGGUGGAAUGCGUAGAUAUCGGGAAGAACACCCGUGGCGAAGGCGGCCAGCUGGGCCGGAUCCGACGCUGAGGCGCGAAAGCGUGGGGAGCAAACAG
Molecule: ribosomal RNA, 424 nt
Filed under: uncultured bacterium
Lineage: Bacteria
Description: partial 16S ribosomal RNA
Rfam family: Bacterial small subunit ribosomal RNA
Source: RNAcentral